Long non-coding RNA from Homo sapiens (human), 676 nucleotides. RefSeq annotates it as long independently transcribed non-coding RNA 3002. The record is from RefSeq and is marked validated. NCBI's taxonomy places the organism in Eukaryota, Metazoa, Chordata, Mammalia, Primates, Hominidae. The transcript is spliced from 4 exons.
GUGCCACAGCAACAGAGCUCCAGUUGUGUCUUGUAAGAAUUGGUCAUUGUUUCAUGGGGACGACUGGCUCCUUUGGGUGGGAUCUGAUGGCAUCUCAUGGAGUUGAGGUUGUCUGCCAACGCUAACUGGCCAGCUCUGACAGGAGGUGCGUGGCCCAGGAGGAGCCAUCAGGCCAGUUCUCUGGGAUACUGCUGUGUCUCCAGCUCUGCAGUUUGCUCUUCGUCACUCAGCGGCAGACGGAGAGGCAGACACGAGCCCCUUGUGAGCCCUCCUCCUUACCGUCAUCUCACAAUGCUCUGAAAUAAGGAGGCAAAUGGCUGAGGUCCCCUCAGUUAGUCUCGCUCUGUCCCAGGCUGGAGUGCCGUGGUGUGGUCUUGGCUCACUGCAACCUCUGCCUCCCGUGUUCAAGCGAUUCUCCUACCUCAGCCUCCCGAGUAGCUGGGAUUACAGGUAGAUGUGAUUGAGUUCUAUCUACCAGAAGCAUAUGCCUCCUGGAAGCCUGGUUCUAACACCUCCCACAAAAUCCUUCAAGCACUUUUUUCUGUUCCAAGGUUUGCUUAUGGGGGACCCAGUGAAGUGCUUCAGAGCCCUAGAGAUUUGCUGAGUCAUAUGAGGGGUCAGCAAACUUUUCCUGUAAAGGGUCAGAUAAUAAACAUUUUAAGCUUUGUAGACUGUA